RNAcentral lists this ribosomal RNA (440 nucleotides) under uncultured bacterium. RNAcentral's name for it is "partial 16S ribosomal RNA". It matches the Rfam family "Bacterial small subunit ribosomal RNA", at positions 338 to 795 of the family's 1533-position model. The record is from RNAcentral.
CCUACGGGAGGCAGCAGUGGGGAAUAUUGCACAAUGGGGGCAACCCUGAUGCAGCGACGCCGCGUGAAGGAAGAAGUAUUUCGGUAUGUCAACUUCUAUCAGCAGGGAAGAAAAUGACGGUACCUGACUAAGAAGCCCCUGCUAACUACGUGCCAGCAGCCGCGGUAAUACGUAGGGGGCAAGCGUUCUGCGGAUUUACUGGUUGUAAAGGGAGCGUAGGCGGUGCAGCAAGUCAGACGUGAAAGCCCGGGGCUUAACUCCGGGACUGCUUUUGAAACUGUUGAACUAGAUUGCAGGAGAGGUAGGUAGAAUUCCUAGUGUAGCGGUGAAAUGCGUAGAGAUUAGGAGGAACACCAGUGGCGAAGGCGGCUUACUGGACUGUAAAUGACGCUGAGGUUCGAAAGCGUGGGGAGCAAACAGGAUUAGAUACCCCUGUAGUC